AGCAGCCGCGGUAAUUCCAGCUCCAAUAGCGUAUAUUAAAGUUGCUGCAGUUAAAAAGCUCGUAGUUGAAUUUCGGGACCGAUAUAUCGGUCGUGCCUCGGUACGUACUGGUAUUUUCGGUUUCUCCCUUCUGACGAACCUUGAUGUCAUUAAUUUGGUGUUAUGGGGAAUCAGGACUGUUACUUUGAAAAAAUUAGAGUGUUUAAAGCAGGCAUUAGCUUGAAUACAUUAGCAUGGAAUAAUGAAAUAGGACGUUCGAUCCUACUUUGUUGGUUUCUAGGAUCAACGUAAUGAUUAAUAGGGAUAGUUGGGGGCAUUAGUAUUCAAUUGUCAGAGGUGAAAUUCUUGGAUUUAUUGAAGACUAACUACUGCGAAAGCAUUUGCCAAGGAUGUUUUCAUUAAUCAGUGAACGAAAGUUAGGGGAUCGAAGACGAUCAGAUACCGUCGUAGUCUUAACCGUAAACUAUAGCCGACUAGGGAUCGGACGAUUGUUUUUAUUCGUUGACUUCGUUCGGCACCU
Molecule: ribosomal RNA, 520 nt
Filed under: uncultured Glomus
Lineage: Eukaryota; Fungi; Glomeromycota; Glomeromycetes; Glomerales; Glomeraceae
Description: bacterial SSU rRNA
Rfam family: Eukaryotic small subunit ribosomal RNA
Source: RNAcentral